UCAGAAUAGUAAAUGUAUUUAUUAGUAAAUAUAUUUAUUAUAGGUUACACAUAUAGAUAAAUUUAAGACUGUACAAUCAAUUUUUCUCCAGGGGCCAGUUGUUCAAGGGUGGCCGGAUUAGCUUAACCCUAAGUAAAAUUAACCUAAAAUUCAAAGCAAACUUCUUGACAGCUUGUCUAUAAAUUUGGGAAUAUUUCUUCAGAGAUCUUGUCUGGAUCGAUAGGAGUUUUUUUCUCUGAAGUUUUGAAAUAAACAGGCGUGUAGAAAUACACAAACUAAAACAGCAGGCUAAAUUUUAACCCAGGGUUAGCGC
This is a non-coding RNA of Paramuricea clavata, 313 nucleotides long. The record is from the annotation of a GenBank genome assembly. Lineage: Eukaryota; Metazoa; Cnidaria; Anthozoa; Malacalcyonacea; Plexauridae.